GUCGGUUUUGGUUAUUGAUGUUUCCACCGUAACUUUUGAAUCAAACACAAAAACAGAAAAUACAAAAGAAUCAUUUUUACUGUGCAAACUACUCAUAAUGGCCACAGAACUCGAGCAACUCACUCACUAGAACAAUUUGUCGAGCAUCUUGUGUGCAACUGGAGAUUUAAGUUCACUUCAGCUCAACCGGCCAAGCACACCCAAUGGUCACUCCAAAUAACCUCAUAGCUUCAAUGCCGCACCCAAACCGAUACACAGUACAAUAGCUUCACUUGGUUUGUGAUGCAAUUGCAGAAUUGAGCCUUGAGAAGAAGCUGAGUUGGCAGAGUUAGUUAGUACCGGUAGAAGUUAGUUACAG
RNAcentral lists this long non-coding RNA (358 nucleotides) under Nicotiana benthamiana. RNAcentral describes it as "long non-coding RNA (NBEN_LNC040057)". Lineage: Eukaryota; Viridiplantae; Streptophyta; Magnoliopsida; Solanales; Solanaceae. The record is from RNAcentral.